UACGUAGGGGGCAAGCGUUAUCCGGAUUUACUGGGUGUAAAGGGAGCGUAGACGGCAUGGCAAGUCAGAUGUGAAAGCCCGGGGCUCAACCCCGGGACUGCAUUUGAAACUGUCAGGCUGGAGUGCAGGAGAGGUAAGCGGAAUUCCUAGUGUAGCGGUGAAAUGCGUAGAUAUUAGGAGGAACACCAGUGGCGAAGGCGGCCUACUGGACGGUGACUGACGCUGAGGCUCGAAAGCGUGGGGAGCAAACAGG
RNAcentral lists this ribosomal RNA (253 nucleotides) under uncultured bacterium. RNAcentral describes it as "partial 16S ribosomal RNA". It matches the Rfam family "Bacterial small subunit ribosomal RNA", at positions 524 to 776 of the family's 1533-position model. The record is from RNAcentral.